Molecule: ribosomal RNA, 465 nt
Filed under: Vreelandella stevensii
Lineage: Bacteria; Pseudomonadati; Pseudomonadota; Gammaproteobacteria; Oceanospirillales; Halomonadaceae
Description: partial 16S ribosomal RNA
Rfam family: Bacterial small subunit ribosomal RNA
Source: RNAcentral
CCUACGGGUGGCAGCAGUGGGGGAUAUUGGACAAUGGGGGCAACCCUGAUCCAGCCAUGCCGCGUGUGUGAAGAAGGCCCUCGGGUUGUAAAGCACUUUCAGUGAGGAAGAACGCCUGGUGGUUAAUACCCAUCAGGAAAGACAUCACUCACAGAAGAAGCACCGGCUAACUCCGUGCCAGCAGCCGCGGUAAUACGGAGGGUGCGAGCGUUAAUCGGAAUUACUGGGCGUAAAGCGCGCGUAGGUGGCUUGAUAAGCCGGUUGUGAAAGCCCCGGGCUCAACCUGGGAACGGCAUCCGGAACUGUCAAGCUAGAGUGCAGGAGAGGAAGGUAGAAUUCCCUGUGUAGCGGUGAAAUGCGUAGAGAUCGGGAGGAAUACCAGUGGCGAAGGCGGCCUUCUGGACUGACACUGACACUGAGGUGCGAAAGCGUGGGUAGCGAACAGGAUUAGAUACCCCUGUAGUC